GACGAACGCUGGCGGCGUGCUUAACACAUGCAAGUCGAACGGAAAGGCCCUGCUUUUGUGGGGUGCCCGAGUGGCGAACGGGUGAGUAACACGUGAGUAACCUGCCCUUGACUUUGGGAUAACUUCAGGAAACUGGGGCUAAUAACGGAUAGGAGCUCCUGCUGCAUGGUGGGGGUUGGAAAGUUUCGGCGGUUGGGGAUGGACUCGCGGCUUAUCAGCUUGUUGGUGGGGUAGUGGCUUACCAAGGCUUUGACGGGUAGCCGGCCUGAGAGGGUGACCGGCCACAUUGGGACUGAGAUACGGCCCAGACUCCUACGGGAGGCAGCAGUGGGGAAUAUUGCACAAUGGGCGGAAGCCUGAUGCAGCAACGCCGCGUGCGGGAUGACGGCCUUCGGGUUGUAAACCGCUUUCGCCUGUGACGAAGCGUGAGUGACGGUAAUGGGUAAAGAAGCACCGGCUAACUACGUG
This 468-nucleotide ribosomal RNA is filed under the name uncultured bacterium. RNAcentral's name for it is "partial 16S ribosomal RNA". It matches the Rfam family "Bacterial small subunit ribosomal RNA", at positions 28 to 507 of the family's 1533-position model. The record is from RNAcentral.